Molecule: ribosomal RNA, 164 nt
Filed under: Thalamita pelsarti
Lineage: Eukaryota; Metazoa; Arthropoda; Malacostraca; Decapoda; Portunidae
Description: partial 16S rRNA
Source: RNAcentral
GCUUUAUAAGUUUGGAGAUUUUAUAUAUUUUUCUAUAGCAAUAAUUUCUUGAAAGCUUAUUUGGUUGGGGCGACAAUAGUAUAAUUGAAAUAACUGCUUUAAAAUAAUACAAAUAUAUUUGAAUUAUAAUUAGUUGAUCCUUUAUAAAGAUUUAAGAUCAAGUU